Molecule: long non-coding RNA, 848 nt
Organism: Hirundo rustica (Barn swallow)
Lineage: Eukaryota; Metazoa; Chordata; Aves; Passeriformes; Hirundinidae
Exons: 5
Source: RefSeq, a predicted model, not a curated record
GGAACAGCUGUUUACAAUAGUGUGUGAGCAAUCAGUAGUUUUAGAGUACAAUUUAAGUUGCAUUUUGCCCUUGAUAAUGUGAUCAUGUAGCAUGGUGCCUAGACCUGUUGGAUUUUUUUUAUAAUCAGAAUCAAAUGUGUGUAUGGCAAGGAUUUAGACAAGUGAGUUGUCUGAGUAAGAGGUUCUGCAAAUCUUCCCUACAGGGCAGGGGAAUUGGCUGCAAGGGCUUGUUCACCGUAUGGGGUUGGAAGCUUCAUGUAAUCUUGUGUCAUCAUUGGAUCUGCAAAACGUGAUCUUCAUUUGCAGCUGCUUAAUAUAUUUCCUUUAGCCUUAGCCUCUGUGGAAAUUGGUGAAUCUAAGUCCAGGUUUGCUGAGAAAGAAAAUGGGUGGCUUGAAGUAAAUGUCAGUUUAAUAACUGUUUGAUCCACUUUUUAUCUUUCUACAAAUUCUUGAGCAUCAUAUGUGUGACGGAUCUAUCUGACUCUGAGACUGAGCUGAGUUAACAGAAGCAUUGCAGUGGCGGAUACAUUUCAUCAAUUUUUGAGUGAAAAAGGCUGUGCUUAGAUGUGUGAUCCUUUAACUUCUGAAAGCAGAUAUUCAAUUUGUAUGUCUAUCAAGAUAUGUGUGCUUUCAAUUUCCUGAAGAUAUUGAAGUGUAUAAAUGGUUACUUUGUAUUAUCCUUACUGUAGGGUAUUGAAAAAUGGUUUAUGUUCUUGUAAAUUCAUGUGCAAAAUUGGCUCCUGUUAAAAAUAAUGUUCACUUAGAACAGGAAAACCACUUUAUCUGCUAUAUAUUUUGCUGUUUCUCCUUGCAAUAAACUCAUUUUUGGGGUUGUUUUCUUCAUCUAA